Long non-coding RNA from Lycium ferocissimum, 1288 nucleotides. RefSeq lists it as uncharacterized. Lineage: Eukaryota; Viridiplantae; Streptophyta; Magnoliopsida; Solanales; Solanaceae. The record is from RefSeq and is a predicted model, not a curated record. The transcript is spliced from 4 exons.
CAGAACGUAAUUGUACUUCUGCCACCAUCCUUUCCUGUAUCUGAACACGAAGAAGUUGAAGAUCAUUCCAGUAAUAAGCCAGCUAGCGAUAUUUGUCGGAGUUGCUGGUGGCAUUCCGGCAAAGCCAUAAGAUAUAACAGGUCCAAACAGCCUCUCUGGUCCAAUUAGACCCCAAAUGACAGAAGCAUCAAAUGUGACGCGAAAUUUAGGACAGGUCCAAGGGCUUUCAGGAUGAAGAGCCUCAAUGUCACAAAUAUUCUCAAUGCUGCCCAACAUCCACCAUGUAACUGCUAGGUUGACUGUUCCAGCAACCAGUGUCCCAACAAGCUGGAAAUCAAGCAGACAUAAAAUGUGCAAUCAGAAACAUCGUUGCUCGACAUGUUGGUUUUAGCAUGUGUAUUGUAUGAAGGAAAACAUUUUCCAGAAAAUGACUUUUACCUGACAGCCAAAAGUUCUAUAGGAACUGGUUGAUCCUAUUUGGUCAAAUACCUAGUGACAAACUCCUAUGUUCCUUUCAUUACGGUAUUUCUAAACGAGUUCCUGGAUAACAAGCUUAAAGGUUUUCUUCUUGAUGAGAUCGAUAGUGAUGAUAGUGACAAUAUUGAUGCUAGGUGACCUCGAUACUUUCCAUUAAAAGGGGAAAAAUGACUUGCUUUUCUUAUUUUUUUCUCCGAUAGUCCAUUUGAAAUAGUUUCUGAAUUUUACAGAGUAUUAGACAGUGAGGCAAAGUUUCUUCCGGGAAAUUUCCAGAAAAUGUUCUCCUUCGUACCAAGCACAACCUUAAAGAUAUCAAGCGUAGACUCGGUGAUACAAACCUGAGCUGCAAACAUGCAUCUUGGUGGAACUUUCAUGUAGUGCCCAAGUUUAAGAUCAGCCAGGAAAGAGAGAGCAUGAAUGGUUGCUGCAAUGUAGUACCAGUGGCGUCAACAUGUCAGUUCAAAUAUCGUGAUGUUCAAAAGCAAAUGCAAGAUUGUCCACUUCACCUGGUUUGUAGUUGCUUGAAUGACUCCUAUUGGGAGAGUAACAAGCCAAGCAAGACCAAAGGCGAAGAGCAUUCCCCACCACGGCAACUGAACAUCUUCUUUCCACACAAAAGACAUCAUGAGCGACAGGGCAAUGCUACCGAUCAAUAACACGAGGAACCACCACUGAGGCCAACCUGAACAAAGACACUUGAGCAAGAUUUGAAGGCCACCACAUCUCCACAGGAUCAACCAGAUAUCUCCUCAACAUUCCAGCCCAUCCAUACCCCAAUAUCUGCAUGAUGAGUGCAUAUUUUUCACAUAUG